Molecule: ribosomal RNA, 541 nt
Filed under: uncultured Gallionellaceae bacterium
Lineage: Bacteria; Pseudomonadati; Pseudomonadota; Betaproteobacteria; Nitrosomonadales; Gallionellaceae
Description: bacterial SSU rRNA
Rfam family: Bacterial small subunit ribosomal RNA
Source: RNAcentral
AGUGGGGGAUAACGUAGCGAAAGUUACGCUAAUACCGCAUAUGCCCUGAGGGGGAAAGGAGGGGAUCGCAAGACCUUUCGCUUUCGGAGUGGCCGAUAUCGGAUUAGCUAGUUGGUGGGGUAAAGGCCUACCAAGGCGACGAUCCGUAGCUGGUCUGAGAGGACGACCAGCCACACUGGGACUGAGACACGGCCCAGACUCCUACGGGAGGCAGCAGUGGGGAAUUUUGGACAAUGGGCGCAAGCCUGAUCCAGCCAUGCCGCGUGAGUGAAGAAGGCCUUCGGGUUGUAAAGCUCUUUCGGACAGAAAGAAAUCGCACGGGCUAAUACCCUGUGUGGAUGACGGUACUGUAAGAAGAAGCACCGGCUAACUACGUGCCAGCAGCCGCGGUAAUACGUAGGGUGCGAGCGUUAAUCGGAAUUACUGGGCGUAAAGCGUGCGCAGGCGGUUUUGUAAGACAGGUGUGAAAUCCCCGGGCUUAACCUGGGAACUGCACUUGUGACUGCAAGACUAGAGUGCGGCAGAGGGGGGUAGAAUUCCA